UCGAUCGUCAGCAAGUUGGCGAAACUAGACGCCCUUUCACGGCGGUAACAGGGGUUCGAUUCCCCUUGGGCGUACCA
This 77-nucleotide transfer RNA is filed under the name Mesorhizobium sp. Its description in RNAcentral is "tRNA-Glu". The record is from RNAcentral. Lineage: Bacteria; Pseudomonadati; Pseudomonadota; Alphaproteobacteria; Hyphomicrobiales; Phyllobacteriaceae.